UGCUACUUUUGCCGGCGAGCGGCGGACGGGUGAGUAAUGCCUGGGAAAUUGCCCAGUCGAGGGGGAUAACAGUUGGAAACGACUGCUAAUACCGCAUACGCCCUACGGGGGAAAGCAGGGGACCUUCGGGCCUUGCGCGAUUGGAUAUGCCCAGGUGGGAUUAGCUAGUUGGUGAGGUAAUGGCUCACCAAGGCGACGAUCCCUAGCUGGUCUGAGAGGAUGAUCAGCCACACUGGAACUGAGACACGGUCCAGACUCCUACGGGAGGCAGCAGUGGGGAAUAUUGCACAAUGGGGGAAACCCUGAUGCAGCCAUGCCGCGUGUGUGAAGAAGGCCUUCGGGUUGUAAAGCACUUUCAGCGAGGAGGAAAGGUCAGUAGCUAAUACCUGCUGACUGUGACGUUACUCGCAGAAGAAGCACCGGCUAACUCCGUGCCAGCAG
RNAcentral lists this ribosomal RNA (441 nucleotides) under uncultured Aeromonas sp. RNAcentral describes it as "bacterial SSU rRNA". It matches the Rfam family "Bacterial small subunit ribosomal RNA", at positions 77 to 514 of the family's 1533-position model. The record is from RNAcentral. Lineage: Bacteria; Pseudomonadati; Pseudomonadota; Gammaproteobacteria; Aeromonadales; Aeromonadaceae.